AUUGAACGCUGGCGGCAGGCCUAACACAUGCAAGUCGAGCGGAUGAAGGGAGCUUGCUCCUGGAUUCAGCGGCGGACGGGUGAGUAAUGCCUAGGAAUCUGCCUGGUAGUGGGGGAUAACGUCCGGAAACGGGCGCUAAUACCGCAUACGUCCUGAGGGAGAAAGUGGGGGAUCUUCGGACCUCACGCUAUCAGAUGAGCCUAGGUCGGAUUAGCUAGUUGGUGGGGUAAAGGCCUACCAAGGCGACGAUCCGUAACUGGUCUAGAGGAUGAUCAGUCACACUGGAACUGAGACACGGUCCAGACUCCUACGGGAGGCAGCAGUGGGGAAUAUUGGACAAUGGGCGAAAGCCUGAUCCAGCCAUGCCGCGUGUGUGAAGAAGGUCUUCGGACUGUAAAGCACUUUAAGUUGGGAGGAAGGGCAGUAAGUUAAUACCUUGCUGUUUUGACGUUACCAACAGAAUAAGCACCGGCUAACUUCGUG
This 483-nucleotide ribosomal RNA is filed under the name uncultured bacterium. Its description in RNAcentral is "partial 16S ribosomal RNA". It matches the Rfam family "Bacterial small subunit ribosomal RNA", at positions 30 to 507 of the family's 1533-position model. The record is from RNAcentral.